This is a long non-coding RNA of Cotesia glomerata, 322 nucleotides long. RefSeq lists it as uncharacterized. The record is from RefSeq and is a predicted model, not a curated record. Lineage: Eukaryota; Metazoa; Arthropoda; Insecta; Hymenoptera; Braconidae. The transcript is spliced from 3 exons.
GGAAAUUAUUUAUGGAUGGGUAGAUAAAUAAUUUCAAUACUUUGAACUUACAUGGCGCUCAUGAUAAGGGACAGCUUUGCUAACAAUGUCAAGCAAUUCGGCCAGCAAAUGUUCAAUACGCUGCAAACUUUUUGAUGAGACAUCAAGAACACUGAAGUCGACGAGUUUGGGCUGCUGAACUGAUGGAUGGACCAGCAAAAGAAAUGACAGAGCGAGGUUAAAGAAGACUUUGAAGGUGGACCUGAUAAGCCGUAACGAGGAAAAAAAAAUCCCAGAAAAUCAUGGCAAUGGCGAGACAAAAUAGAAGAGACAAAUUGGUGAG